GUUUGAAUCUUGAAUAUUAAUGAAUGGUUUCCAAGUUAAAUAAACAUAUUUUGAUAAUUUUCUACUGUAACCCUAAGGGUUGCUAGGAUAUAGCAAUUACAAUUAUUCAUAUUAUCAUCUUUAUAGUCUUUUGAUUAAAUAAAAACUCAGCUCAGGAAAACUAAUUGACAGCAAGUUCCCUAUAGUAGAGUCUUUACAUUUUUAAUCUAAAAUGCUAGAGGGUUGUAAGAGGUCCUGAUUUUUUUUAUCCUAGAUACGGAAUAUAAAGACAAUAAUUCAUGUUGUG
Molecule: non-coding RNA, 286 nt
Organism: Pelobates cultripes (western spadefoot toad)
Lineage: Eukaryota; Metazoa; Chordata; Amphibia; Anura; Pelobatidae
Source: the annotation of a GenBank genome assembly